Orcinus orca (killer whale) is the source of this 13259-nucleotide long non-coding RNA. RefSeq lists it as uncharacterized. Lineage: Eukaryota; Metazoa; Chordata; Mammalia; Artiodactyla; Delphinidae. The record is from RefSeq and is a predicted model, not a curated record. The transcript is spliced from 2 exons.
AGUGUUUUUGGUGGCUGAUCUGACCUCUUCCCAAUAGGCUCUAGCCAGCUUUACACCCACUUUGCUUAUACCCGUGCAGCUGGAUGUGGCUGGAGAAUACACCACCUCUGAAUAGUUGUACUUUAAAUUCCUGAUCAUGAACUUUAGGUGGGCUUUUAAUGCUGCCUGGCAGUCAUACCAUAUUAUUCCUACUUCAUUCAUAUCGGUGACUCUCUCAGUUCCCCUGCCUUUCUCAAACCUUCAGCAUCUGUUUACCAUAUCAGUUCUCAGCUGAUUACCAUCUCCUUUUUUAACUGAGAAACUUGAAACAUAUUGCUUCCACGGACUAACAGACCCACUGUCAGUUCCUCCAUCACAUCAGCUGAACGCAUGACCUCUGCCUGUUCCUGCCACACGUGAGCUAUCUGCUCCCAUGUAAAGCUAGCCCCCUCCUUGCGCACUAAGCUCUCUCUCCUCAUACGCUCAUAAACAUUGCUCACUCAGCUCUCUGUUCUUUUCCUUGUCCUCAGUUUUCUUCCUCUAAUGCAUCAUUCCCAUCGUUAUACCAUGUGCUGUUAUUUCUCUCAUCAGAUGAAACAAUACUUCAUUUGACUCUGCUCCUCUUGUCGGCAGCUGUUCCAUUUCUCUCUUCCCUUUUGCAGUAAAUCUCCUCCAAGGAGUUGUCUGUACUCACUGUCUUCAAUUUCUCCUCUUCCACUUUUCUUUUAAAUUCACUGUAGUCAGACUUUCAGCCCCAUGACUUCAAUUUAACAUUGGCAGAAAGUCAAUUUAAAAUUUGCUUUUAAAAUCAUAAGUUUUAUUUGAAGCGGAGUGUUAUUCACAGCACUUUAAUUUCCUUUGCUAAGUAUAAUAUAUUUAGAGAAAUGUGUAGAUUUACCAUCCAUCCAUAGUUGCUAUGGUUAUAUCAUAAAGAGGUAUUAAAAUGGUAACAAAUUUUAAUUGCUGUUGUAUCAUAUUGGGUAUCAUACUUGCUGGCUUUGUACUAUUGGGCUCCAUAUGUCUUUUUUGGUGACUGUUCCUUAAUCUUUCCUACUACUAAGAAGUUGUCUAGUUUUGACCAAGCAGAUGGUUUCAAGUUUCUCUCUAAUAUGUUGAAUGAAGUUGUGAAUGAAUAACUGAGCUGAGUGAGCAUGAAGACAGUUAGCAUGCAGGAAGUUUAGUGUAGAAGGACAAUAAACUAUUCAGCAAAGUUAAUGCGAUGUAUAAUUAAUGAUAUCCAUAAUUGAUAAUGAGUUAUAUGCUUUAGCUUUAGUUGUCUGUUAAAAGUUCUUCUGAGGAUAUGGAGUUGCACUAGAAUUCUUUUAAAAUUCUCUAAUUAUGAUCCCUCAAGGCCACCUUCUUUCAUGCAAGGAUUAUAAAAAAUCUAGGUCUUCAGUUGGUUAUACCUAUGAAACUGAGAGCCAGAUUAGUUUGCUCAAAAAUAUUGAAUAUGAUCAAUUUGUUGUUGUUUUUCAGUCUUUUAUAUAAUUGUAACAUAUAUAAUAAGAGACAUUCACCUGAGUGAGUAGUCUUGUGGACAGGUUAUUGGUUAUAUCUGGCAUAGUUGCCCAAAUGCCAUCACUUUAUUUCCUGCACAAGGAAACAUGGAAAUCCAAGUUAGCCAGAGGAAUGUUACUACAGGGAGAGAUUUGAAUUCAGGUGUUGUUAUGCUUGGCAAGUUACUUAUGACAUACCUACCAAAUGAUCCCAAUAGACCAUACUCGGGAAUUACUGGACAUUGUCUUGUAACAGCAUAUUCUUUCCAUUCAACAAAUAUAAUUCCACGAACAAAAUAUGGUUGUAGACUAAUGUGGUAGCGGGGGAAAUGAAAAAAGCAAGGAAUGAUUGAAAAACAAUAUUCAGAAAUUAGUGAGAAAUUACAUGUAGAGGGGUGAAAGAAAAAGAAAUGUGAAAAAUGACUCUAAGCUCUUGAACUUAGGGUCUGGCUUGGUGAUGCUAUUGGUGGAAAUAGGUAAAUUAGGAAGCGUUUCUUGAAAGAAAAAAAAUGUUUCACUACUUUAAAGUUAAGAAUAUGUUUAAUCGGCAUGCUUCCUCUUGGUGUGAAUGAAUUCUCUGCAUAAUGUGAAUUGUAUUACACCAACAUAAAAGAAUUUCUUUAUCGUAUUCCCACCCUAAAGGAUAUUACCGAACUUUACCAAACCUGUGGUUGCUAUUGUAUCCUCAUAUAUUCCAUUUUAUACUCCCUGCCUGCCCCUCUCCAUAGAUGGUAUUUCAGGAACUAGUCUUAAAACCAUGUACAGUUCUAAUGUAGCUGGCAAAACUCUAACCCCAUUGAAAACAGGAAUUCAACAUAAAGUAGCAUUAUUUCCUUAUUUUGACAGAGAUUAUAAUUAGCAUUUUAGGACUUACGGUAGUAUCUGUUGACAGUUCUGAGGUAUACACUUAAGAAUGACUCACUAUCCUGACUCACUUGUUCAAGUUCACUGUCAUUCAGAAGCCCUUUUAUUCUGCUGUUCUUUUUCUGGCUUUUAUUUUUUUCCUGAUGAAUAGAAUUAUUGUAGUAAGUCUCACAUUGCUGAAUAUAACCUUUGUUUUCUCUUAAUUGGUGUGUAUAUGCCACGCCUCUAGGCAUAGUCAAGCCUUUUGCUUACGAUGGCUGGCAUUUUGUUGUUUAGUCUCGGCAGGAAGUACGGUAGGGUGAGAGUUGGUAGUGUGUAAGAGCCGUGAGACAGCAAGCUCUGUGGUUAAUAGGGUGAAUGUGUAAAUACUGUAUCAUUUACUUCAGCGAAAAUAUGCACCUAUUGUUUGGGAAUGUACUAUAACUUUAGCUGUACCCAAUUAAAGCCUGUUCCAGGAAGUACCAUCAGGUCUCGUAAAUAUUUCUGCUCAACAAUUGAGCUGGCCCAUUUAUUUCAAAGAAUAUUUGAUCAAACAAAAUUCCAGGGAAGUAAAUAGUCCUUGAGUUUGUGAUAGGAGCUGACCAGUAGCUUAAGACUAGAUGAAUAGACCUAAACAAUCCAUUAUAGAACUACUUACGGAUGUUAACAUACAGUUAGAUGCCCAAGAUUUGGAGACUGAGAGGCCUGGGUGUGGUUUGUGGCACCACCACCUUAUGGCUGUGUAAUGGCCAGUGCCACCCUCCCUAAGUCUGCAGUGGUUCCUAUGUCACCAGGGUUUUGAUUAGGAUUAAAUUAGGAAGUUCUCGUUAGUUCAUUUAGUCAUUCAGUAAGUUUAGUGAGCAUCAGUUUGGUGUCAGGCACUGUAUCACCACUGGUUUACAGUGGAAAAUAAAAUGACAUGGACUGACCUCUGGGUCCAGUGGAGAAGACAGAAAGCAAGCAAACAAACAGAUAAUUUACAGUUGCGGUAUUUCUGUCAGGAAGAUAUCAAGGCACCGUAAGAGGACCACUGAAGGGGCAGCUCCUAGGUUGACAAGGGAAGAGUGGCAGGAGUCAGCCAGCCAGUCAGCAUAGAGGGGAGAGCUCCGGCUGGAGCGAACAGAAUAUUCCAUGGUCCUGACUCAAAAAACAGAGGUGGGGUGGUGGCGGUGUUACUAGGAACUGAAAGUCGGCCUGCGUGGGUUGGAGUAUUGCUCGCAAAUGGUGAAGAGUGGGAUAGAUAGCUGUGGCUGACCUGUGUGGUGCCUGGCCCAGGGGGCGUGAUUAGUGUCAGCUGCUAUCAUUGUUCUUAUUAUAAUGAUCCUUUCCUUUAUGUAGAGGUUACUUUAUGGGCUGUCAGUUAAAGCCUUGAAGGAAGCUAGUAACUUCCCAAGUAGAUGCCAUGAAGUCAGUGCAUUAAACUCGUGUAUGCUGCUUAGAGAGGGCUCAGGCCCUCACUCAGAGCUUGUUGGUGAUUAUUUUUCAUACUGUUCACAUAAAUUUAGUUACUUGAGUUUUAUAACAGCCUAGAAGUAACAAAUUGGGGCAUGAAUUUAGAGGUUCUCCAAAAGACAGAAAGCAGUUACAGUGUAAUAAAAAUAAAAUUUAAAGUGAUUAGUGAUGGUUAAAAAUGUGAGAUGAUGAAAUCUUUUUUUCAGAUUUAUUGAGGUAUUGUUUCCAUACAGUGUAAUGAAUCCACUUGCAGCAUAGCUUGAUGAAUUUUCAUAAUUAUAUAUAGUCACAUAGCCAACCAUAUCCUGCUAUAGAAAAGUUCCAUCAAGAAUCCUAAAAAUUCUUAUUUUCUUGUGUUUCUCUGCCUUGGCCGCCAGCCUCAAGCAGCCACUAAUCUGCUUUCUGUCACUAUAGUUUUGUGUUUUCUAGAAUUUCGUGUAAAUGGAGUUGUAUACUAUGAAGUCUUUUGGUUUGACUUCCUUUUGUUCAUGUUAUUGCACGUAUUAGUAAUGUGUUCCUUUGUAUCAUUUUGUCGACUGAAGAAAAAUUGCGCAACCUAAAAGUGGAGAACUAUGUUUUAUUCAGUGGACAUACUGAGGACUUCAGCCUGGAAGACAGGCUCUCAGGUCGCUCUGAGGGACUCUUCCGAAGAGAAGUCCCAUAGUUUUUGCUGUACGUAUAGAUCUGUGAUUUAUUUCAAGUUAAUUUUUGUGUACUGUUCGAGGUAAGGGCCAAAGUUUAUUAAAUUUCUCCCCAUAUAGAUACCUAGUUAUUCCAGCACCAUUUAUUGAAAAGACUGUCUUUUCCCCAUUGAAUCAUUUAGACUAUGAGACUUUGCUAUCAUUUGUAACCAUCUUCUUUCACCAAGAAUUUAAGCUUGACAACAGUGCUUAUUCAAAUAUAAAUAAAUCCAUCUUGUAUUCUUACUGGUAAGUAUAUAUUUUAGGAUGUUAUAAGAACAAUGAAGGGAACUGCUUUUCAGGGCUAAUUCAGACUAAUGAGGGGGUGUUUGUUGGUAAUGUAGAAGUGAUGGUAACUUCUUAGAAUCUGUCAAGUUCUAAGGAGGAAGGUUCAGUAACCAGUUAUAUAUAGGAAAGUGAUUUAGAAAAAUAUUAGUGUGAAGGUGGGCUUGCUUAUAUUCACAGACUCUAAAAGGAGACCUGAAUCAAUAAAAGAAAAAUCUACAAUGGCUAUUGAUUUUAAUGAGAAAGAAAAGAUAAAGGAAUUUACACAAAAUGAAGUAGCUGCUUAAAGGUGCUCUUUGAGUUCAAGGGCUUGAAUGAAAGGUAGAAGAAAAGAUUUGUAACCAGUAAUGAAUGAAAAGAGUAGUAAGUACUUACAAAACCAGUGUCAGGAAGGAUCAAGCGCAGAUGAAUUGACAUCUGUGAAUAGUGUGGAGCAUGUCAAAAACAUCUUAAGAAGCAUAAUUUGGUACCUGAAGGUCACUAAUGACCAGAUAGGCCUGCUGUUCAGGGCAGGUCAUGUUGUGUAAACGUGAGAGUGAGAGAGAGAGAGAGAGAGAGAGAGAGAGAGCGCGAGCAUCUGAGUCCCAGACUCUUUUGCAUCCAACUGCUUUUCUGUUUGGUCAAAGCAAAGUUAUCUUCAAACAGAUAAGGGAAUGGACAGAAAUGAGACGUAGUUGAAGCCCAAUGUAGGUUAGAAGGUGGUAACACCCUUUAAGUCAGGACUUUAGGUUAAGUCGAGUAAUAUAGUCUUGGAUGGUUUUGUAGUAAUUGUGAAUAGUCUUGUAAGGGUAAUAAAACAUGGAGAAAGUACCUGAAGAAUGGACUCAGAGGGGGAGAAAGGGGAGACUCUGGUAAUUAGAAAUGAUUGAGUUUCAUGAUAAUUUGAAUCAGAAUUCUAGCUUGAUUUUAUUAAAUAAUGGCUUAUGAAUGCAUUUAAAAGGAAGCAAUCUUUAGGAGCUUUUCUGGGUAUAAUAAGAAUAAACUAAUGCAACCUCCUUCUUUGUUGUUGUCACUGAAUAGACCACCUAAGGAAAUGUUAGAGAUAGGUUUUAUUUGGGUGUUAGAAAGGUAUGUGAUAAAGUCUUCUAUGAUGCCACCAUAGACUAGAAGUAAUUGGUCAUGUGAGGAUUUUAUAAUGAUUGAUGGAUCAUGUUUAAAGUAAUUUAUUUACAUCAGAGUGAAGGUCUUUGCCAGUGUGUCCUAGGGUCUUAGCUUAUUCAACAACUUUUUGGUGGCUAGAAUAAAAACUCAGUUAUAAUCAUUGGAUUUAUGAUGGAAGGAGGAGGGUACAGAGUUGACGAAGCUUAUAAGAUUAUGAAAUGGAGAUUUACAAAGAUCUUACAGGCUAGAAUAGUGGACUAAAAUGAAAAAAAGCUUGACUAAAAAAGAUAAAAUGUCAACCUCUACAUAGCAAUUGAGACAGCUCCUAAGAGGAGGUUGAGAGAUGUUACAUAUAUGCUAAAUUGGAGCGCAUUACGUUGACUUGCCAGCCUGGUUUGGUUGCAGAUCAAGGGCGGUAAUAGAGCUGUGGUUCUCCUCACCUCAGACUUUUUCUGGGCUGUCAUGUUGGAUUUAGGUGUCACAUUUCAAAGGGGACUUUAAUAAAAUGUCAUGUGUGCAGUGUGAAUAUAUCAGUGAUUUGUAUUUAUGGGUUGUCAUGUGCAAAAGCCCAAUUUUGUUUAGAACUAAAAGGAAAACAUUUCUAAUAAUAAUAAUUAGAACGUUUUAAGAUGGAAGGGGAUGACUUGUGAGCUUGUGAGAGUUCACCUCUGGAAGCAUUGAAGGUCACUGCAUUUAGAGUGACCACUUAUUAAGAAUGUUAUAGAGGGAAGGUCAUCAUUUGGGGGAGGUUGAGCUGGAUACAUUUUGAGGUUCCCUUUAAUCCCUUUAACUUUUCUUUUUAAUUUUGAUUUUUACUUAGGUACCUACACAAUCAAUUUUAUCAAUCUUAAAGACUUUAUUCAUAAUUAGUGUCUUAUGUUUAUAUGGCACUUAAAAGUUCUGGAAUGCUUUUAUGAGCCUGAUUAAAUGGGAUGUUUGCAAGAAUUCUACAGGUUGGACAGGAGAUUUUUACAAUUUUAGACAGCUGUAUCUUAAUUUAGAAUAUGGCUUCUGGGUUCUCGACAGUCUGGGCUCUGGCACCUGGCACCUGGCACCUGGCACCUGGCUGCGAGACCUUUGGAAAUUUCUGAAUGCCUUUGUUUUCCUCAUCUGUAAUUUGGUGAUAAUAAUAGUGACUAGACCGUAGGGUUGUUUGAGUUUACAUAUGAUCAUUGCUUGAGAAUAUACGCCUAGAACAUUAUGCUUAGCUUAGAGCAGUACCUGACACGUUGUAGACGUUUAGUAAAUGUUAGCUAAGCACUUGUUCUUAUCACCGUGUAUCUCUUGUACAGGUAAGGAGACUGAAGCUCACACAGGUUGUGGCCCAAGUUUACAUCAAUAAUAAGUGGUAGAGAAGUUAUUAAGAAUUCUGUUGAAUUGGAUUUAAAAAAUGGGGUAAAAUUACUGGUAUAUGGACAAAUUUGUGAAACAAUAUUGAUUUCACUUUAAUUUAUUAAGACUUUUGUGAAAUUAUUGACCGUAGAUUUUAGGAAAGCUAGGGUUUUUGUGGGUGUUUACGUAUAUACACACAUUCCAGACAUAAUUCAGUAGGAAGGCCUUUUCUAAAGCAUAUUAUAAAUAAAGAUAACCACAUUUCCCACAAGAUUUGUGGUGCUUGAUAGGGUUUGAAGGGAAGUAGGCAAUUAACUUUGGUUUCUGUUGGCUUUCCUAGUGCCAAGCAGCUUGAGCUUCUGAUUUCUAGAUGUGCUUAGAUUUCUCGAGGAACAUAAGUCAAACUGAAGGCAUCUCCUAGAAGAAAAAUCCACAUCGGCUCUCAUUUAUAAUAUUGAAGUAAACAGAAGAAUGAUCUCACCAAAACUCUGUUCUAUCUUUAGAUAAUCACCUCUUAGAAUUAGUUCAUUAAAUGCUAUGUAGUUUUCUGGUCUAGUUAGAAACAGUUUAAGUUGUGUAGUAACACAUCUCUUAGGGUAAGGAUACUUUUAUUCAUUUACAGGGUUGUAAACAUCUUGAGGGCAGAUACUGUGUUUCAGUAUUCUAUGCUCCGCAGUACUUGCAAAGAGCUUUGCACAUAGUGAGUCUGUGAAGUUGUCAAAGCAUUGAUGGCUUUAUUGGAAACCAAAGAACCCAUUAAAUUGGUUGUAUUAAAAAUGGUCAGUUAAAGUAACUUGCCAUUCACAGUGAUCUGUUGCCAUUCACAACAGAUUAUAAAUGUAAUCUAUUUGUCAGCAAGUUUAUUAAAGUUAUGUUCUUGAAAAGGACUGCAGUUGGCAAAAAAAGCAGUUGGCAAGAUCAGUGUCAUAAGGAAGAUAUGAGUUUAAAUGAAAAAAAUACCCUCUAAAGGGCUUUAAGGGCAUUUCAAAAACAUUAUAAACGCAAGUUUAUAAUGUUUUGUGGAAGAGAAUUUUUCCCCCCGGCCGGGUGGGGGGGGGGAGGGGGAUGGUUCAGGCAGUAAUGCGAGCCACGGGGGCAGCAGGUGAAGCUUCCCUUGCUUGCCGGCCGCUCACCUCCUGCUGUGCGGCCCGGUUCCUAACUGGCCGCAGACAGUCCACGUGGGCGGGGCGGGUUGGGGACCCCCUGGUGUAAGACAUCCAUUACAAAACCACCCAGAUUUGUCAGCAAUAAAAAUCCCCUCUGGUAAGUAACUGAUAGGAAAGUUGUAGUGUGAGUUGCUGAGGCAGAUUCUCCUGUCAGUUUUGUUAUUUGGCUUGUGCUUAUUUUUAAAGUAUGUGAACCAGCCCUAAAUAGCAUAAAAUAUAAUGUAUUAUCCUUUGUUUAAUUUUUGCAGUUCUCAGUAAAGCGCUGAUCCUUUUACAGAUUAUUGUGGUAGAGGGCCUAGUUUUCUAGCCAUAUACCGAGAAAAUAGAAUAUAGACCCUUAAUCUCCUCUUCCUGCGCUGACACAGACCCCCUGCCUGCAUGGGCUGCUGGAGGUGAAAGUAUUCAUUGGUUUUCAUUUGGUCACAGGAAAGAAGAAGUUUUGCAUUUGACAAUAGUUUCUAUCUCUUUGAAUUUCUGUUCUUCCUUUCCUUCCUUUAGAGCAGUAAAGACAACUGGAAGGUGAAUCCAUUCCAUCAGGAAAAGCUGAGGUGGCCUUGCACUUGAGAGGUCUCUGGAGACUAAAAUAAGGGACCAUCUGCUUGUGCAGAAGCAGCUAUGUUGGAGCAGUAGUAAAUCUUAAACCUUUUCCUGAGAAAGGAUUUUUCUCCUAUUAAUUAUCUUUACAGUUCUUAAAACUUUUAUGGGUUAUGUUUUGAUAAGGUGGCACAUGUACAUGGUAAACAAUUCAAGGUGUACUGAAGGUUAUCCAGUGAGAGAUAAGUGUCCUUUCCACUCAUCUCCCCCAGGACAUCCGCCGUUAACUUUGUGUAUUUAUGUACAUCCCUGACCCCCGUAGUGUGUUAUACACACUGUUCUGAACCUUGCCUUUUUUCUCCCCUCUAGUAUACCUUGGAGAUGAAUCCAAAUCAAAUCAGUACAGAAUAUUGCUUCAUGAUUUUUAACAGCUGAAUUGAUGAACAUUUAUGUCGUUUCCAAUCUUUUUUGCUGCAUUGUGAAGUUGGUCAUGCUUAUUUACUCAUAAAAGAGGAAUUUGGUUUACUGUUCUAAAUGCAUUCUGUAAUUUCAGAUAGUUUACUCAAUGAGUAGGUAAUAGUGCUUUCUAAGAAAUACUUUCCACAAUGAGAAGGAUGGCAGGUCUUUUAUGUAAAAUGUAUUUUUAUAGUCAGUCUCCUGGAGUGUGUGGAAAUUGGCAUAACUCAUCAAGUACAGUAUUCUGGAAGAGGCUUUGUCCCAUUUAAUGACUUCUUAAAAGAGUUUUAUUCUUCGACUGCUGUGUAAAAAAAAUGACUUAGAACCUGAUUGAACCUGUGUAUAAGUUUUUGAGGUAAAUUGAGGGUGAGGCAUUGGAGUGGGAAUGGGAUUUAUAGGUUACUGUCAAGAAACCUUAAAUGUAAAUUUUCAGGAUCUCCAGACAAGUGUUAACUGGAGCCUAAUGGCAGCCCUUUCCCCUUUUCUCUCAUCAGUCAGUUGCAUUUAAGACUUGUUUUGUUUUUGUCUUUAAAUCUUGAAUGUAAUGGUUCAAGUUUCUUUUGGAAAUCUAUACGCUACUACUGCUAUUUUUCUCAAAUAUGUUAUAUUCAUUAUUAGGAAAUUAAUGAAUACAUUAUAUAGGCACUUCAUAAUAUUAAAGGAAAAUAUAUUUGGAUGUGAUGAGACUUGUUUUUAAAAUUUGUGUUUUGAGCAGAAUUUUACAUCAUUAAUAAAAGACUUACAAUUACCAUUCUCUUAGUCAUUCAAUUCUGAAUGACCCAGGUAGUAAUGAAUGAAUACCUCGGUAAUAAUGAUAUGUUAAUGUAUCAAAAGAUGAGUUGUUGGUAAGUUUAUUUCAUUUUAUUUAUGGCCUCAAACUAAUUUUUAAUCCCCAAAUCUUUUCCUUUGCUUAUUUUCCUGUGUACGCUUAACUUUUGCACCAAGAGAUUACCUUCUGUUCCAGUGGAUGGGUGGGAUAUUAUGAAAAGAGAAGGGGAAGGAAAAAUGAUAAAAGUUAAAAGACCUGUCUUCCCUGCCCAACAUGACUGUUGCCAUAGGUGCUAUUGAAAUAGCUGUACUGUCACCAUGGACUCCAGCUUUUUAUUAGAAUGUCACGGCUUUGUCCACUUGUCCAAAUGGUGAGUUUCCACCAUUCUUGUAAGACCUGGGUCAGAUGUUGCCUUGUAGGUAAAGUCUUUUUCUGACUUUGCCUUUUUCCUAUUGGCUUCUCUGUAGCAUUUAAAAAAGAUAUCUGUUGAGGGGCAUUUAUCACAUUAUUUACAGCUGAUUAUUUUUCUGACUCAGAAAACUGAUUUUUAAAAAUAAAUUUAUUUAUUUAUGGCUGCGUUGGGUCUUUGUUGCUGCACGUGGGCUUUCUCUAGUUGCGGUGAGCGGGGGCUACUCUUUGUUGUGGUGCGCAGGCUUCUCAUUGUGGUGGCCUCUUUUGUUGCAGAGCACGGGCUCUAGGUGCACGGGCUUCAGUAGUUGUGGCACAUGGGCUCAGUAGUUGCGGCUCACGGGCUCUAGAACGCAGGCUCAGUAGCUGUGGCACGCGGGCUUAGUUGCUCCGCGGCAUGUGGGAUCUUCCCGGACCAGGGCUCGAACCUGUGUCCCCUGCAUUGGCAGGCGGAUUCUUAAUCACUGCGCCACCAGGGAAGUCCUGAAAACUGUGAUCUUUUUGAAGAAUUAUGUUUUAUCCAUAUGUAUUCACAGUGCAAUGGCAAUAAAUUAUGCUCAGUAAUUUUUGAAUUAAUACAUAUUGGAAGACUUAAUCCACCUCAUUUUUCCAAGGGAAAGCUGGUAUUUAUAUUCUUAAUCUGACCUUCAUUCACUUACAUGAUUGAUUAUUAGAUAUUUCAAAUGGAAUUUUUAGGUAUCCAUAGAGAUACAGCAGAGUCAUUUUGCUGACUGUAGAUGACUCUUCAAAAAUUGUUUCAUAGCUUUUCAUCUAAAACCUCAUAAAAAAGACUGAGGAGCAAGUCUUUUCUAGUCAGCAUACUCUUUUAUUAAAAAACUUAAAAUGUGUUUGGAAAAUUAAAAAAAAUUUUUUUUCUAACAUAUAUCAAUAUUAUAUCUUUAUAUUUUUUAUAAAAGCAUAUUUUAUAAUAAAAGUAGUAUAUGCCUAUUAUUGACCAUUCAAAAAAUACAAAAGUGCAAAGAAAAAAAUAAAAUUAUUCAUAUUUCUUCCUUUCAGAGGUUAAAAUGUUACCAUUUUGGUGCAUUUCAUUUCAGUCUUUUUUUCUGUUCAUGGUGUUUUUGUUUGUUUGUUUGUUGAUGAUUUGGUGCUUGGUGUUGGGAUAACUGUAGGCUUCCGCUGGCACACUUCUGGUGAGAUCCAUCAGUUAAGACCUCUGUGGGUCACCUCUAGAGGGGCUCAUGCUGUGUUACUGUAGCAGGCCCCUCAAUUCAGAAGUACUUCCAAAAUAUUGCCAGGUUGUUUUCUUUUUGAAGCCAUUCAAUUUUUUGUUUUGCUCAGUUUUUCUUCACCCCCCUCCCCCCACCCCAUCUGAUUUGGUGCGUUGGUGACAGUGCAUAGGGACAGGUGCCGGCCAGGCAGUGGGGCUCCCUCUGCGGCAGGUGACCAGCUCUCUCACUCACACACGGGCUGGUUCACACUCACACCUCAGGGACCUGCUGGUGGUUAUAUGCCGUGGCCUUUAGGAUAACUUGCUCCAGUAUUGAAACUGAAAUGUUAAAAACUGACGAAUACCAAGGAUGAGCUGGGGCAAAUCCUAGAGAGCAAAUCCUGAGGAACCUUGUCUUCGAAGAGUAGACAGAAGGGAAGGAAUUAACACAAAAUAUUGAGAAAAAGUAGCAAGGGAGGAAGAAGAAGAACCGAGGGCAAGGUGUACAAUGUAGGCAGAGUUUCAAGACCAAGGAAAUAUUUUGCAUUGUUCAGUCCAGCUGAGCUGUCACAGGAACGAUCCCCUCCUCUUUCAGGCCUUCCUCGACUCACUCAGCCAGCCUCGAUUGCUCUCUCUGUUUUGCUCUCACAGCGCAUGGCGUGUCCUUCUCCUGCAGCCUUUGUCGCCAUGUGGCAUGAGUCCCCCGCUGCUUGCCAGGCUCCCCGAGCGGCUCGCUCUGCGCCAUGGUCCUGGGCACCUGGCUGGCCCUCCAUCAACGCUGCUGAAUAAACACAUGGCUACAUACACUGUGCCUACUUUCCCAAUUUUUAAAAUUUUGUCCAAGGGUAAAGCUAAGGAAACUUUAUUACCUACUCUGCUGGUAGCCAACAAAAUGCCAAAAAUGCAGAAGAUUUGUUUCUUGGUCCUAGAUGGUUAUUUAUUGAAGUUAGGGUAAUAUUAGUGUACUACUGUGCUGAUGUUUCUCUAACCCAGCUUGAAAAUGCUUUUACUUAUAUUUUGGUAUUUGUAUAAGUCAAGAGUUAAGAAUUUGUGAAGGUGUUUGAUCUUCCUUUAAAUUAUACACAUUUAUGUUCCAAGAUGAUAUUCAGAUUGGAUUGAUAGAAUGCUUUUAGUAAGUGGAUGUUUUGUGAAGCAUCUGUGCCACCAUUGAAACAAUGAUGUGAGAACUUCACUGCCCAUUCCCUUAGCUUUGGUGAACAAUGUCUAUUUUGUUUUAUUAAGGUGUCUUUGUCAGGGAAAUACUGAAAUCUUUGUACAAUGUUUAUAUACUACCAAAUGCCAGUAGGAGAUGUGUUGGGAAUAUUAUUUUUUAAAGUUUGGUAUACUUUAGAGCUAAUGAAUCUUUACUCUGAAGAAAAUCAUGUGUUGUAUAUAGAAAAAAAUAAAGACGUGGUUGAAAGGGUUUGUAAAAAAGAAAAAAAGUGUAGGACUGGAUUAUAGUGAAUAGACGGUAUGAAUGAAAAACCAUGUAAGAUGAGACUGGUGUGGAGCCCCUGCUUCCUUGUUUCCUGCCCAGGGUCUGGCAGUUGGUAACUAGUAAAGCAUUAAAAAAAAAAAAAAAAAAAAAAA